AUGUGCAUCAUCCAAGUUAUUCACCACUGCCUGAGAACAAGUAACAGUUUGAAAGCAUCUAAGUUCCUGGCUAAAAUCUGGUAGGCCAAUAGUAUGAUGCAAAAUUCUGUUCGUACCAUAGUCAUUCGAAUUCGGUCCACCAACAAUACAAAUCACAGGCAAAUUCUCACUGUAUGCCCCAGCAAUAGCAUUAAGCACACUUAGUCCCCCUACAGUGAACGUCACUACACAUGCCCCCACCCCUUUCGCACGUGCGUACCCGUCGGCGGCGUACCCAGCGUUUAGUUCGUUACAGCAGCCGAUCAAAUUUAGCUCCGGCUCGGCAAUCAGAUGAUCGAGCAACGUCAAGUUGAAGUCGCCGGGAACCGAAAACACAUCCUUCACACCGAUUUGUACUAGCCGACGAGCCAAGUGCCGACCCAGAGUUCCAGCUCCACACGGAGAGCUCGCUGGAACUGAAGCUGACUGAGCCGUGGAACCGAUGGCAUUGUUACCUUCCAUUUCUGAAUCAAUUUUCUGCUACAAAAUCACCAAAAGACAAAAUUAUUCAGAAAUGGAAG
This 560-nucleotide unclassified non-coding RNA is filed under the name Hevea brasiliensis (rubber tree). Lineage: Eukaryota; Viridiplantae; Streptophyta; Magnoliopsida; Malpighiales; Euphorbiaceae. The record is from RNAcentral.